This is a long non-coding RNA of Patella vulgata (common limpet), 268 nucleotides long. RefSeq lists it as uncharacterized. The transcript is spliced from 4 exons. The record is from RefSeq and is a predicted model, not a curated record. Lineage: Eukaryota; Metazoa; Mollusca; Gastropoda; Patellidae.
GGAGAAACAGAUAAAGACAACGAUAAAGAUAACAAAGAAACAGUAUCAGAUGGGAUGUCAGAUGUAUAUGAAAUACUUGACAGUCGAAAUGUUUGGAAGAGAAUUGAGAACGGGACUCGACCACAACACACAACGAGUCUUCAAUCUGAUAAUAAAAAUAUGGAAUUAAAUCUGGAGGACAAACAGCUAGAAGAGGAUAUGUCCCAGGUUAAUAUCAGUGAAAUGAAAGUACGCUAUUGGACAGAUGAAGUCAGGGAUUGGUUUGUUG